GACGAACGCUGGCGGCGGGCUGAACACAUGCAAGUCGAACGGUGAAGCGCCUUCCUUUUUGGUGGGUGUGGAUGAGUGGCGAACGGGUGAGUAACACGUGAGUAACCUGCCCCCUUCUUCUGGAUAACCGCAUGAAAGUGUGGCUAAUACGGGAUAUUCUGGGUCUGUCGCAUGAUGGGUCUGGGAAAGAUAUUGUUUCGGUGGGGGAUGGGCUCGCGGCCUAUCAGCUUGUUGGUGGGGUGAUGGCCUACCAAGGCGGUGACGGGUAGCCGGCCUGAGAGGGUGGACGGUCCCACUGGGACUGCGACACGGCCAAGACUCCUACGGGAGGCAGCAGUGGGGAAUAUUGCACAAUGGGCGCAAGCCUGAUGCAGCGACGCCGCGUGAGGGAUGGAGGCCUUCGGGUUGUGAACCUCUUUCGCCAGUGAAGCAGGCCUGCCUCGUUUGUGGGUGGGUUGACGGUAGCUGGAUAAGAAGCGCCGGCUAACUACGUG
This 494-nucleotide ribosomal RNA is filed under the name uncultured bacterium. RNAcentral describes it as "partial 16S ribosomal RNA". It matches the Rfam family "Bacterial small subunit ribosomal RNA", at positions 28 to 507 of the family's 1533-position model. The record is from RNAcentral.